Molecule: ribosomal RNA, 384 nt
Filed under: uncultured fungus
Lineage: Eukaryota; Fungi
Description: partial 18S ribosomal RNA
Rfam family: 5.8S ribosomal RNA (bases 19-172)
Source: RNAcentral
AUUUAAUUAAUAAAUUAAAACUUUCAACAACGGAUCUCUUGGUUCUGGCAUCGAUGAAGAACGCAGCGAAAUGCGAUAAGUAAUGUGAAUUGCAGAAUUCAGUGAAUCAUCGAAUCUUUGAACGCACAUUGCGCCCCCUGGUAUUCCGGGGGGCAUGCCUGUUCGAGCGUCAYUYCACCACUCAAGCCUCGCUUGGUAUUGGGCGACGCGGUCCGCCGCGCGCCUCAAAUCGACCGGCUGGGUCUUUCGUCCCCUCAGCGUUGUGGAAACUAUUCGCUAAAGGGUGCCGCGGGAGGCCACGCCGUAAAACAACCCCAUUUCUAAGGUUGACCUCGGAUCAGGUAGGGAUACCCGCUGAACUUAAGCAUAUCAAUAAGCGGAGGA